AGUGCCUUACACAUGCAAGUCGAACGGCAGCACGGACUUCGGUCUGGUGGCGGAGUGGGCGAACGGGUGAGUAAUGCAUCGGAACGUGCCAUUGAGUGGGGGAUAACGUAGCGAAAGUUGCGCUAAUACCGCAUAUUCUGUGAGCAGGAAAGCAGGGGACCGCAAGGCCUUGCGCUCUUUGAGCGGCCGAUGUCAGAUUAGCUAGUUGGUGAGGUAAAGGCUUACCAAGGCGACGAUCUGUAGCGGGUCUGAGAGGAUGAUCCGCCACACUGGAACUGAGACACGAUCCAGACUCCUACGGGAGGCAGCAGUGGGGAAUUUUGGACAAUGGGGGCAACCCUGAUCUAGCCAUGCCGCGUGAGUGAAGAAGGCCUUCGGGUUGUAAAGCUCUUUCGGCCGGGAAGAAAUCGCAUGGGCCAAUACCCUGUGUGGAUGACGGUACCGGAAUAAGAAGCACCGGCUAACUACGUG
This 471-nucleotide ribosomal RNA is filed under the name uncultured bacterium. RNAcentral describes it as "bacterial SSU rRNA". It matches the Rfam family "Bacterial small subunit ribosomal RNA", at positions 43 to 507 of the family's 1533-position model. The record is from RNAcentral.